ACAUACCUGUCUGGUUAUCAACAGAGAGUUUGGACACCUGUAUACCUGUAUUCUACCAAUCACUUGUAACAUACCUGUCUGGUUAUCAACAGAGAGUUUGGACACCUGUAUACCUGUAUUUCUACCAAUCACUUGUAACAUACCUGUCUGGUUAUCAACAGAGAGUUUGGACACCUGUAUACCUGUAUUCUACCAAUCACUUGUAACAUACCUGUCUGGUUAUCAACAGAGAGUUUGGACACCUGUAUACCUGUAUUCUACCAAUCACUUGUAACAUACCUGUCUGGUUAUCAACAGAGAGUUUGGACACCUGUAUACCUGUAUUCUACCAAUCACUUGUAACAUACCUGUCUGGUUAUCAACAGAGAGUUUGGACACCUGUAUACCUGUAUUCUACCAAUCACUUGUAACAUACCUUAAUUUGUACCUUUGGACGGACAGACCCGGAGGAAACCUAUAGUCCCCUCUGGUUUCAUUGAUGAUGGACCACUCUACUUCCUUUUACAACAGGUGCCCCUACAGAUUCACAAAGUUCCAGUGUUGAGUUUCCAUGACCCCUAUUCAUCCACAACAGAAAAAGGAAUAAAGUUGACAGGACUUUCCACAUUGUCUUUGGUAGCUGCAGCUUACAAUAGAGCCAACUGCAGUAGACAUAGCAAUUGCUUCAUCAAAGAUGCACCAGAUGCAGCGGCACUGUCUCCAUCACUGGUGAAAUGGGAUAUGACUAGUGGAGGGUCAUCACUUUGUAACUUGCCAUAACAAUUAGCAGCCUUGUUGUCAUCUAAUCCCUUUAAUUCUCAUCUCCAAUGGUGGUCUACGGUGGAAUG
Long non-coding RNA from Saccostrea cuccullata (small rock oyster), 827 nucleotides. RefSeq lists it as uncharacterized. The record is from RefSeq and is a predicted model, not a curated record. The transcript has 4 exons. Lineage: Eukaryota; Metazoa; Mollusca; Bivalvia; Ostreida; Ostreidae.